UCGAGCGGACAGAUGGGAGCUUGCUCCCUGAUGUUAGCGGCGGACGGGUGAGUAACACGUGGGUAACCUGCCUGUAAGACUGGGAUAACUCCGGGAAACCGGGGCUAAUACCGGAUGGUUGUUUGAACCGCAUGGUUCAGACAUAAAAGGUGGCUUCGGCUACCACUUACAGAUGGACCCGCGGCGCAUUAGCUAGUUGGUGAGGUAACGGCUCACCAAGGCAACGAUGCGUAGCCGACCUGAGAGGGUGAUCGGCCACACUGGGACUGAGACACGGCCCAGACUCCUACGGGAGGCAGCAGUAGGGAAUCUUCCGCAAUGGACGAAAGUCUGACGGAGCAACGCCGCGUGAGUGAUGAAGGUUUUCGGAUCGUAAAGCUCUGUUGUUAGGGAAGAACAAGUGCCGUUCAAAUAGGGCGGCACCUUGACGGUACCUAACCAGAAAGCCACGGCUAACUACGUGCCAGCAGCCGCGGUAAUACGUAGGUGGCAAGCGUUGUCCGGAAUUAUUGGGCGUAAAGGGCUCGCAGGCGGUUUCUUAAGUCUGAUGUGAAAGCCCCCGGCUCAACCGGGGAGGGUCAUUGGAAACUGGGGAACUUGAGUGCAGAAGAGGAGAGUGGAAUUCCACGUGUAGCGGUGAAAUGCGUAGAGAUGUGGAGGAACACCAGUGGCGAAGGCGACUCUCUGGUCUGUAACUGACGCUGAGGAGCGAAAGCGUGGGGAGCGAACAGGAUUAGAUACCCUGGUAGUCCACGCCGUAAACGAUGAGUGCUAAGUGUUAGGGGGUUUCCGCCCCUUAGUGCUGCAGCUAACGCAUUAAGCACUCCGCCUGGGGAGUACGGUCGCAAGACUGAAACUCAAGGAAUUGACGGGGGCCCGCACAA
This 884-nucleotide ribosomal RNA is filed under the name Bacillus velezensis. RNAcentral's name for it is "bacterial SSU rRNA". It matches the Rfam family "Bacterial small subunit ribosomal RNA", at positions 62 to 928 of the family's 1533-position model. The record is from RNAcentral. Lineage: Bacteria; Bacillati; Bacillota; Bacilli; Caryophanales; Bacillaceae.